AUCUAAAUAGUUUAUUAAAAUAUUGAUUUGUGGAAUCAAAGAUAUAGUUAUUAUUUUAGAUA
This 62-nucleotide transfer RNA is filed under the name Chrysomela aeneicollis. RNAcentral's name for it is "tRNA-His". The record is from RNAcentral. Lineage: Eukaryota; Metazoa; Arthropoda; Insecta; Coleoptera; Chrysomelidae.